RNAcentral lists this long non-coding RNA (558 nucleotides) under Setaria viridis. RNAcentral describes it as "long non-coding RNA (SVIR_LNC010119)". The record is from RNAcentral. Lineage: Eukaryota; Viridiplantae; Streptophyta; Magnoliopsida; Poales; Poaceae.
CCCAUCCCCACCACCAAUUCCAAACCCUCACGGCCAAACAAAUCACUCACACAGAUCGCCCGUUCCCAUCAUCGACCCCGGCCUCAUUUGGUGCCCUUGGUGGUGAGCCCGAAGCCGAACGGGAACAGCGGGUCGUAGUGCUUGUCGCCGACGCUCAUCGGCAGCUGGUCCACGGACUUGAACCACGUCCGCGACAGCUUCCCCGUGAACCCGUAGUCGCCGAACAGCACGUCGGCGACGCCCUGGCCCUCCGACCCCGGCAGCCACGCCGCCACGAACGCGUCCAUGUCGCCCAGGUACGGCUCCACCACCAGCGGCCUGCCGGAGAUGAGGACCACCACGCACUUGGUGGCCUUACACACCGACUGGAUCACGCUCGGCCCCGGCGCCGGGAUCGUCAGGUUCAGGUUGUCGCCGAACGUCUCCGCGUACGGCGGCUCCCCGACCACCACCACCGCGUAGUCGUACUUGUCGGCGAGGACGGUGCUGUCAGGGUUCUCGGAGUAGACCACCUGCGUGCUGGGAUCAAUGGUGGCCUUGAUUCCUUCCAGGAUCGUC